This 432-nucleotide ribosomal RNA is filed under the name uncultured bacterium. RNAcentral's name for it is "partial 16S ribosomal RNA". It matches the Rfam family "Bacterial small subunit ribosomal RNA", at positions 29 to 506 of the family's 1533-position model. The record is from RNAcentral.
AACGAACGCUGGCGGCAGGCCUAACACAUGCAAGUCGAGCGGACCCUUCGGGGUUAGCGGCGGACGGGUGAGUAACGCGUGGGAAUAUGCCCUUCUCUACGGAAUAGUCCUGGGAAACUGGGGGUAAUACCGUAUACGCCCUUUGGGGGAAAGAUUUAUCGGGGAAGGAUUAGCCCGCGUUGGUUUAGGUAGUUGGUGGGGUAAUGGCCUACCAAGCCGACGAUCCAUAGCUGGUUUGAGAGGAUGAUCAGCCACACUGGGACUGAGACAAGGCCCAGACUCCUGCGGGAGGGAGCAGUGGGGAACCUUAGACAAUGGGGGCAACCCUGAUCUAGCCAUGCCGCGUGAGUGAUGAAGGCCUUAGGGUUGUAAAGCUCUUUCAGCUGGGAAGAUAAUGACGGUACCAGCAGAAGAAGCCCCGGCUAACUCCGU